GGUGCAGUAGCUCAGUUGGUAGAGCAAUGGACUGAAAAUCCAUGUGUCGGCGGUUCGAUUCCGCCCUACACCA
This 73-nucleotide transfer RNA is filed under the name Neolewinella antarctica. RNAcentral's name for it is "Lewinella antarctica tRNA-Phe". It matches the Rfam family "tRNA". Rfam says of the family: Transfer RNA (tRNA) molecules are approximately 80 nucleotides in length. Lineage: Bacteria; Pseudomonadati; Bacteroidota; Saprospiria; Saprospirales; Lewinellaceae. The record is from RNAcentral. RNAcentral also lists the same sequence under 6 other names.